GGAACAGAUGGCAGUCUGGCCUUAGUCGCUUUCUGGACCUCUAGGCGUUGGAAUUGCUUUCGGUUGAUUACCAACAUUCCAGGUCACUGGGAAAUGCUCAGUCAUCCAGACAGAAUUCUAUGCUGCUGGAGAGAGGGACUCCCAAAUACAUCAAUGAAGAACCAGUUAUCAGUUUGUGUUAUUCGCUGGCCUUAUUUAAUAAUCCCACAGUUUAGUAGCUGUAAACUGUAAUGUUACUAGAAGCCUCUUGAGGAACUUUAAAGAAUGAGUUCUGCUGACUUCUAUUGGUCAGUCAAGACCAGUUCACACAAAAGAGGAAAGCAAACAUACUCCACCUUCUAAUGUAACUUCAAGGAAUUUAUGGCUGUAAUCUUUCCCUGGAUGUGCUGGGCCUUUUGUCAAGAGGCCCAUUUAGCUUUCUCCAGCUAGAGUUAGUUGUUCGGUGGCUUGUGUGAAGGUGCACUUAUUUCUGGGUCUCUUCAAGUGUGAUGCUCAGACAGUGAAUGAUUGGAAUCCACAUAUGCAAGGUAUCUAGUCUACUUAGUUAGAAAGACACAGCUGUAACAAAGAUUUAAUUUUAGAACUGAUUUUAAUGUCUUAGGAUAGCAACUAAAAUAUAAGUAAUGGAGUACAUAAGCUUCAAGCAUCGGGUAAAAUUUCAAUGAAAAACAUCAAUACCAAGAUAAGAGCACAUGCAACAAAUACAGAAAAAACAAGAUCUAGAAAUUAAUCCAAAUUUGCUAUCAAUUGCAUUAUACAUAAUGGACUAAAUGUUCAGGGUAAAAGAAUUGUUAGUUGGGAUUUUUCAAGUAUUCAGAGUUUUUGAACUCCAACUAAAGUAUAUAUAAAGACAUCUAGAGCUGGGUUAUACAUUAGUGGUAGAGCACAUGCUUAGCAUGUGGAAAGUUCUACAUUUGAAUCCUAGCACCAAAAACAAUUUUUACCAAGGAUACAAAAAGACUACUAAAAUAAGAAAAGCUAAUAUAACCAUGUAACUAUUUACCAGAGUCCAUGGAAUAAAAACUGUAUCAGAAAAUUUGAAUAGUUCAAGACAGUUUUUCCCCAAAUGAUUUACCAGGUCCCAAAUGCACCUUUGGGUACACUUGUUUUUUGUCUUUUUGGGACAAGUGUCUCACUAAGUAGCCCAGGCUCUGGGUAACAUUGAAUUUGUGAUCCUCCCACCUCAGUCCUGGGCUUACCAAUGUGUAGCACUACACUCUUUAGACAAAUAUUCUUUGCAAGAAUACUGAAUACUUUCAAGAUUAACUCAAGGGAAAGAAUACACAGAUCAUUGGAGAAUGCAAGACAGACCCAGAGUAAACUUAAUUUUACAAUCAGGAAACAUUAGGUAUACAAGAAAAAAAUUAAUUUUUGCUUCACAUGUGAAAAUGAAAGCAUGCCUAGAAAAAUAUACUCAAAAUCUUAAUAUUGGAAAUCUUAGGUGUCCUAUAAACAAAAGAAAUUGAGCAAACAGUUUAAAAUUACAGAAAAUGAAUACCUAAAACAGUAACAAUUACUCUAGAUCAGGAUAACUGAACAAGUGAACAGGUAAAGGAUUUAGAAAAGGCGGAAAUUCGCCUAGCUCAGUAUAUGACACUGUUAUAAUCUACAGCUAUACCAUUAAGCUCAUUUAAAAUUUUAUUUCGGUGGUGCUGAGGACUGAACCCAGGAUCUUGUGCAAGCUAAACACAUACAACCUGUACCACCAAUUCCAUCGUCUAUAUAAAGACAAUUUAUAUGCCAAUGUUACUGAAGCAUACCUAACCUAUGAAAAGCUUUUAUAGCGUGUUAGCAAACAUAAUCAACUUAAGUAUUAAAAAUGAUCCACUGGGCUGGAGAUGUAGCUCAGUGGCAGAGUGCUUGCUUGCCUAAUGUGCUUAAGGCCCUGGGUUCACUACCCAAGCAACCAUACAAAACAAAAAUGAUCCUUAAUGUAAAAAUUAUGUAUUGACCGUAUCUAGGAAUGCAAGAUUAACAGAAAACUAAUAAAUAAUCAUCAUCAUUACUAAAUGAUCACCUUUAUUUUAGAGUCAUGUUACUCACUCAUGUACUUAUUAGGUACUAUGGGUCAAAUGAAAUCCUAGGUACUUGAGUCGUACCAGUAAAUAAACAUGAUCAUCACAAAGGAUGCAGAGAAAGCAGUCAAUAAUUAUGAAGCAUUGUAA
Molecule: long non-coding RNA, 2165 nt
Organism: Nannospalax galili (Upper Galilee mountains blind mole rat)
Lineage: Eukaryota; Metazoa; Chordata; Mammalia; Rodentia; Spalacidae
Exons: 2
Source: RefSeq, a predicted model, not a curated record